UGGGGAAUAUUGGACAAUGGGCGAAAGCCUGAUCCAGCCAUGCCGCGUGAGUGACGAAGGCCUUAGGGUUGUAAAGCUCUUUUGGCGGGGAAGAUAAUGACGGUACCCGCAGAAUAAGCUCCGGCUAACUUCGUGCCAGCAGCCGCGGUAAUACGAAGGGAGCUAGCGUUGUUCGGAAUCACUGGGCGUAAAGCGCACGUAGGCGGAUUGUUUAGUCAGGGGUGAAAUCCCGGAGCUCAACUUCGGAACUGCCUUUGAUACUGGCAAUCUCGAGUCCGAUAGAGGUGGGUGGAAUUCCUAGUGUAGAGGUGAAAUUCGUAGAUAUUAGGAAGAACACCGGUGGCGAAGGCGGCCCACUGGAUCGGUACUGGCGCUGAGGUGCGAAAGCGUGGGGAGCAAACAGGAUUAGAUACCCGCGUAGUCCCUGAGCGGGCUGGCAAGGCGCAU
Molecule: ribosomal RNA, 447 nt
Filed under: uncultured bacterium
Lineage: Bacteria
Description: bacterial SSU rRNA
Rfam family: Bacterial small subunit ribosomal RNA
Source: RNAcentral